AGGAGGGCGGUCCCCGCCGUCUCUCUGGCCGGGUCCUCAGCCCGAGUUCUCCCCACACCGGGGACUAGCAGGGCGGCGGGCGGCGCAGCCGGAAAGGCGCGAGCGCGCUGAGACGUUUGGGGGAAGGCGGGGCUUCGCCGGACCGGAGGGUCUCGGUGGCUGGAAGUGAGUGAGGUUGGGCCGACCGCGCCGGCGUUCGGAGCCCCGGCGGGAGGCGAGAGGGCUGGCGUCCUCGCGGACAUCCAUCUGCAGCGAACCCGGCAGAGGCUUUGGGAUAGAUCCCUGACUCCUUGGGUCAGUAGCUACAGUUUAACUAUAAAAAUGGGAUGGUCGUUCUCACAAGGUUGCUGAGGGGUUACGUGACUCGGCAUGUGGAAAGCACCUAGCAUAAUAAGGGUCGGUAGUUUCUGCCAUCAGGGCUGGAAGAGACCUCGGAGCCUGGAUUCCUUCUAGGGCGUUUGGAUCUCACAUAUCCCUUUGAGAUAGGAGCCAGUACAGGGCCUCACGGCCGCAGACCUAGGCACCGACAUCGUGCAGUGACCUAGGUGCCGCCAUCACAGAAUGAGACCCUGAAACAACUUAGGCGUAACUGCAAUUCUCAGAACUGUAAUUUUCCAUUGCUUCUAUUUCCCCAUAAACCCCUGACCUUGGCAUCUGUACAGACUGCUUGUUUGCAUAACUCCCGCACUCCUGGAAACAGGAUGUGGGUUUUCAGCUUAAAAACCCUGCUCCCCUUGAAUACGGGGCCACGGGUUGGAGAGACACGAGUCCUCCGUGGUCGCCCGCAAUAAAGACCCUGUAAUUGAUUUGGACCUCUUUUGUCUUGGGGUGAUUUCUUGCUUGCUCAGUUACAUUUGGCAGCCCCAAUGAGAUUUUCCAGCAUCACUCAGACAAAAUCCCUGGAGUCUCGCCCACGUGACCGUCCCCACCCCAGGGAUGUCUAGGGGAGGCGCUCCCUGAGACGUUCCAGGGCCCCAGAGUUCUGGCCCGUGGCAGAAGGGCGACUACUCCGCCGACAUUCACCCAAAAUUCCUCAGGGUCCCAGGAACCUCUGGAGUCCUUACAGGCACGCCAGUCUGUUCAGUCCCAGGUGCACUGGCUCAUCAAGGACACCCGUCCUACCUCAGUGGACCUCGCAGACUAGCCGACACGCUCCUUCCAGCCUGGAAACUCUUUCCUUGUUAAAAGAUUCGCCACCUCCUGCCUGGCCCCCCACCGGAAGGGACUGUACACCGUUAUCCUGACCACUCCCACCACACUCAAAGUGGACGGAUUGGCGGCCUGGAUUCAUCACACCCACGUCAAGACUGCCCCAGCAGAAGAACGAUGGAGCAUCGACCACUUAUCCUCAGAUCCACUAAAGCUAAGACUUGUGUGCUCUUUGCGGUUACCACCCUCGCCACCUUAAUCCGUGCUGUAAAACCCUAUGGCAAACCCCUCUUAGAACCCACCUACUAUCAAUGGGUCCUCACCGAGGGCUCCACUGGAGAAUAUGUUAGUUCCUUGACUGGGAAGGGAUCCACCCUAGUCAACAUAACCCUAAAGGACAUUCCAAAGACCCCCAUUACCUUCUCCCUAGACCUCUGUGCCCUCCUGGGCCCAAACCUGAAUUUCAGAACAAGUGGAACUGUAGCCGGGUGCGGCAGUUCAGGGGCAGAGAAACAACUCCAGACCAUGGGAUUAUAUCUGUGCCCAGCAUCCACCUCACAAAAAAGAUGGAACUGUGGAAACUUAAAUGAGUUUUUUUGCCCCCAUUGGGGCUGUGAAACUAUCUCCACUAUAUCAGGGUACACCAAAAACACAGACUCCUUCAUUUCUUUUAACCGAGACUCUCCCCCAUCCCCGUGCUACACCGGGUCUUGUAACCCACUCAAGAUAACCAUAACUACCCCCGAUGGUAAAUGGACAACGGGGCGAACCUGGGGUCUCAGGGUAUAUAUGUCUGGGUGGGACAUGGGAAACAUUUUUACCAUCCAGCGAGUAACCCUGCCCCAACCCAACCACCCUACAGGACAAAAUGCGGGGGUCAUACAACACUCCCAAAGCCCCCCCCCCAAACAACACAGAUCCUCCUCCUUCACAACCCCAGUUCUAACCUCCCCUACAACCCGACUACCCUCGCCUCCUCCCUCAUCACCCUAGCCCUGACCGUGGAGGAUGUGAACCUGUUAAACUUGUCCUCAACCCACCACCUCCUCAAUCAGUCUGACCCAGAGUUGGGAGCAGACUGCUGGCUUUGCCUGAACCCGCAACGGCCGUUCACUGGCCUAGCAGCCUGACUACCAGCAAUCCCGUCCAGUUCCCCGUUCACCCUGACCACGCUCCAUCUGACUCUGGGGGAUCUGGAGGGAUCCGGAGAGUGUUACUACUCCCCUGAUUACAGUUCAGAGAACCCCUAUGAGCUGUGUUGUAACACCUCCCAUACUAUAAGCUAUAAUAGAACCAACCCCUACUAUCAGGCCCCCAACACCACCUGAUUAGCCUGUAUGUUUGGCCUUACCAACUGUAUUUCCACUUUCCAAGUUAAUCACACCAUACUCUGUACUCCAGUGCACAUCCUCCCCAGGGUAAUCAUCUAAGAUGGUCAGCAGGGGCUCCAUCUCCUGGCCCCCUCAGACACAACCACCCGAUGGAAGCGAUUACCCCUUGUCAUGCCCCUGCUGGUGGGAUUGGGCAUUGCUGGCUCCACUGCAGUGGGAAUAUCGGCCCUCACAACCGGGGACCAAAACUUUAAAACCCUUUCUCAAUACAUAGACACUGGUAUAAGCCAUUUAAAAAACUCCGUAUCUCAACUCACUGAUCACGUUGAGUCUCUAGCUGAGAUGAUUCUUCAAAACAGGCGGGGAUUAGAUGUACUGUUCCUAAAACAGGGAGGUCUGUGUGCUGCCCUUAAUGAACAAUGUAGCUUCUAUGCUAAUAGGUCGGCCUCAUUCAAGAAAGCCUUUCCUUGGUCAGGCAGAAUCUCGAAACCUGAAAACGACUUCGGGAAGCAUCAGAAAGUUGGUAUCAGAAAAUGUUUUCCUGGUCACCAUGGCUCACUUCCCUACUCACGGGUAUGGCAGAGCCCCUGGUCCUGCUCCUACUAGGUCUCAUGUUCGGCCCCUGCCUCUUAAAUCAACUAAUCAAGCUAAUACAGGCCAGAAUAAACUCUGUAAAACUAAUGGUUCUAAGGACUCAAUAUGAGCCCCUGCAGCAAACCGCUCAGUCAGUACUGGUGGAAGAAUCAAUGAUUUGACUCAUGUACGAAAAGACAGAGGGGAAUGAGAUAGGAGCCAGUACAGUGCCACACGGCCACAGACCUAGGCACCGACAUCGUGCAGUGACCUAGGUGCCGCCGUCUCAGAAUGAGACCCUGAAACAACUUAGGCGUAACUGCAAUUCUCAGAACUGUAAUUUUCCAUUGCUUCUAUUUCCCCAUAAACCGCUGACCUUGGCAUCUGUACAGACUGCUUGCUUGCAUAACCCCCACACUCCUGGAAACAGGAUGUGGGUUUUCAG
Sapajus apella (tufted capuchin) is the source of this 3498-nucleotide long non-coding RNA. RefSeq lists it as uncharacterized. The transcript is spliced from 2 exons. NCBI's taxonomy places the organism in Eukaryota, Metazoa, Chordata, Mammalia, Primates, Cebidae. The record is from RefSeq and is a predicted model, not a curated record.